CGCGGCCUAUCAGCUUGUUGGCGAGGUAACGGCUCACCAAGGCAUCGACGGGUAGCUGGUCUGAGAGGACGAUCAGCCACACUGGGACUGAGACACGGCCCAGACUCCUGCGGGAGGCAGCAGUGGGGAAUCUUGCGCAAUGGGCGAAAGCCUGACGCAGCAACGCCGCGUGGGGGAUGAAGGCUCUCGGGUUGUAAACCCCUUUCAGCAGGGACGAAAUUGACGGUACCUGAAGAAGAAGCCCCGGCCAACUACGUGCCAGCAGCCGCGGUGACACGUAGGGGGCGAGCGUUGUCCGGAAUUAUUGGGCGUAAAGAGCUCGUAGGCGGUUUAGUAAGUCAGAUGUGAAAGGUUGGGGCUCAACCCUUAGACUGCAUCCGAUACUGCUAUGACUAGAGUCCGGUAGAGGAGUGUGGAAUUCCUGGUGUAGCGGUGAAAUGCGCAGAUAUCAGGAGGAACACCGACGGCGAAGGCAGCACUCUGGGCCGGUACUGACGCUCAGGAGCGAAAGCGUGGGUAGCAAACAGGAUUAGAUACCCUGGUAGUCCACGCCGUAAACGUUGGGCACUAGGUGUGGGGCCUUAUCAACGGGUUCCGUGCCGUAGCUAACGCAU
This 614-nucleotide ribosomal RNA is filed under the name uncultured Actinomycetes bacterium. RNAcentral's name for it is "bacterial SSU rRNA". It matches the Rfam family "Bacterial small subunit ribosomal RNA", at positions 232 to 860 of the family's 1533-position model. Lineage: Bacteria; Bacillati; Actinomycetota; Actinomycetes. The record is from RNAcentral.